This 430-nucleotide unclassified non-coding RNA is filed under the name soil metagenome. RNAcentral describes it as "partial contains 5.8S ribosomal RNA, internal transcribed spacer 2, and large subunit ribosomal RNA". The stretch from base 1 to 120 matches the Rfam family "5.8S ribosomal RNA", at positions 35 to 154 of the family's 154-position model. The record is from RNAcentral.
GAUGAAGAACGCAGCGAAAUGCGAUACGUAAUGUGAAUUGCAGAAUUCAGUGAAUCAUCGAAUCUUUGAACGCAUAUUGCGCUCUCUGGUAUUCCGGAGAGCAUGCUUGUUUGAGUAUCAGUAAACACCUCAACUCCCUUUUCUUUUUUGAAAUUGGAGCUGGACUUGAGUGAUCCCAACGCUUUCUUCCAAGAAAGUGGCGGGUUGCUUGAAAUGCAGGUGCAGCUGAACUUUUCUCUGAGCUAUAAGCAUAUCUAUUUAGUCUGCCUAAAAAACAGAUUAUUACCUUUGCUGCAGCUAACAUAAAGGGGACUAGUUCUUGUGCUGACUGAUGCAGGAUUCACAGAGACAGCUUCGGCUGACUUUGUAAACUCGAUCUCAAAUCAAGUAAGACUACCCGCUGAACUUAAGCAUAUCAAUAAGCGGAGGA